GUGCUCACUUUGGCAGCAUGUAUACUAAAAUUGAAAUGAUACAGAGAAGAUAAGCAUGGCCCCUGUGCAAGGAUGACAUGCAAAUUCGUGAAGCAUUCUGUAUUUUU
Molecule: small nuclear RNA, 107 nt
Filed under: Microcebus murinus (gray mouse lemur)
Lineage: Eukaryota; Metazoa; Chordata; Mammalia; Primates; Cheirogaleidae
Source: RNAcentral